CCUACGGGAGGCAGCAGUGGGGAAUUUUGGACAAUGGGCGAAAGCCUGAUCCAGCAAUGCCGCGUGCAGGAUGAAGGCCUUCGGGUUGUAAACUGCUUUUGUACGGAACGAAACGGUCUUUUCUAAUACAGAAGGCUAAUGACGGUACCGUAAGAAUAAGCACCGGCUAACUACGUGCCAGCAGCCGCGGUAAUACGUAGGGUAGCAAGCGUUAAUCGGAAUUACUGGGCGUAAAGCGUGCGCAGGCGGUUAUGUAAGACAGUUGUGAAAUCCCCGGGCUCAACCUGGGAAUUGUCAUCUGUGACUGCAUAGCUAGAGUACGGUAGAGGGGGAUGGAAUUCCGCGUGUAGCAGUGAAAUGCGUAGAUAUGCGGAGGAACACCGAUGGCGAAGGCAAUCCCCUGGACCUGUACUGACGCUCAUGCACGAAAGCGUGGGGAGCAAACAGGAUUAGGAUACCCUGGUAGUCCACGCCCUAAACGACUGUCAACUGGUUGUUGGGUCUUCACUGACUCAGUAACGAAGCUAACGCGUGAAGUUGACCGCCUGGGGAGUACGGCCGCGAAGGUUGAAACUCAAAGGAUUGACGG
Molecule: ribosomal RNA, 589 nt
Filed under: uncultured bacterium
Lineage: Bacteria
Description: bacterial SSU rRNA
Rfam family: Bacterial small subunit ribosomal RNA
Source: RNAcentral